GGGUGUGUUUUGGGGUGUCUAAUUAUAGGUGUAAGGGCUCCAAUUGUUGGCACCUAAAGGAUCUCUUAAAGUAAGUUGGAUAACUUAAGUUAAUAGGAAACUCAAUGCAAGUAGGACUUGUAUUAUAUGAUUGAAUAGGAUUCAAUCCUUAUGCCUAUUUAAAGAGACCUCUCCUAAGAUUCCUAGAGCAUCCAAACCAGCAGCCCCUACUCCAUAGAAGGUCUCCAUGCCCUCUCUUCCUCCCUCUUUCUCUUCUCUCUUAGGCGUUCUACACACCCUUUCUCUUGGGACGCGCAUCCCAAGAUGUUCCAUGCUCAAGGCUAUUAGGUGCCUCUUCCUUGCUGGUUUCUAACAUCUAGUUGCAGCACAUAGUAAGGAGAAACUUUAGAGAAG
RNAcentral lists this long non-coding RNA (393 nucleotides) under Elaeis guineensis (African oil palm). Its description in RNAcentral is "long non-coding RNA (EGUI_LNC048687)". Lineage: Eukaryota; Viridiplantae; Streptophyta; Magnoliopsida; Arecales; Arecaceae. The record is from RNAcentral.